Molecule: unclassified non-coding RNA, 192 nt
Filed under: Glomeromycotina sp.
Lineage: Eukaryota; Fungi; Glomeromycota
Description: partial contains small subunit ribosomal RNA, internal transcribed spacer 1, and 5.8S ribosomal RNA
Rfam family: Eukaryotic small subunit ribosomal RNA (bases 1-47)
Source: RNAcentral
AAAGUCGUAACAAGGUUUCCGUAGGUGAACCUGCGGAAGGAUCAUUACUGAUUUGGCAAACCGAGCUUGUUAGCAAGGUUUUGCGAUCAAAAACUUUAUAUUUAAAACCCCACUCUUUUAAAAUGUAUAUUUUUUUUAUUUUUGAAUGAUAAAAUUAAAAGAUCACUUUCAACAACGGAUCUCUUGGCUCUC